AGGAAGGAAGAUUUUAAAAAUACACAUGAUAUAUAAUUUACAACGAAAUUAGUAAGAUUUAUAUCAUCAAUACCACAUUAUUUUUUUGUUUGUUACAAACUUUCGAGCGCGCUCACACUCUUACAUAUAUAUUAUAACAAAUAUAUGCGCUCUCGUCUCUCUCGCCUCUUAAUGUGGGGAUCAGAACGCAAUCCAUUAGGGGGUGAUAACCCUACCCAAAGAUAGGAAGAGUUUUGAUACAAGGGUCUGGCGCCAGGUAAAAGCAUUAGUCAAGGGGGUAAUAGGCAUGCUAGUAGUCCCUUUAGAUAGCCUUGCCUUGUCCCAAGAACUAUCUUCCUGUCCUGUGAUCUCCUGGUCUUAAUUGUCUUUUCAGGAAUGUCAGUACAUCCUGGUCACUUCUGGGGGCUGAAGGCCCAUAGAUGAAUAAUCACCAUUCGAAUGACGGAGAGCAGAAGCAGUCCCGAGUGAGUCCUCCCUCAUUUUUUAUCCAUGCAUAAAGUUUGCCUGCUGAGUCCCAGUCCUCAGGCCGUAUCUUUUGUCUUGGCUGUUACAAGCAGCCCCAGCAUUGUUAACUUGAAGACCCAUUGGAGCAACUACAUGGUUGCUAUAUUGCCCAUGACAAUUUUGGAGAGGCCGAGACGUGUUAUCCUGUCCCUUGUGUUCUGCCACCGAUCAUUCCUGUGAGAAGUUACCUUGGAAGAUAAUUGAUUCAAAAGUGCUACAAGUAAACCCUGCUUAUGAAACAGAGAACCAUGAGCCAUGGGGUCAUUCUUUCAUCCUAAAAACAAUGCCGAAGCCCUGUGCUACCGAAAUGUCACCCUGACUUCAGGUCACGAACCUUCUCUGACUUCUGCCUGAACAGCCAAACAGUGCAGACGGGCCCAUAAUCCCUCAAACUGGAGCUCUUUGUCUGCUUCCUACACUGGUCCGCACCCAUCUUCAAAAAUCAAGCUGAGUGCACACCACUACAAGGUAUGUCCAGAAGUUUCAAAUUCAACCAGCCCCUGUUUCUCUCAGUAUAUUUAUCUCAAUUUUUUUUUCAAUAUUUCAAUUUUCCAGUCUUAAUGAACUCCUUUGUGAAGCCACCUAGCAUGCAUAUUUUCCUUGUGACCUGUUCCAAGUUAUAUUUAGAGUCCUGAUAUAGUAAUGAAAGUUUUUCCACCAAAGUGAAUGUGUUAAUCAAUUGAAUGAUGAAUUCCUCCAUCCUGAGUAAUUAACUUCAUGUGAGAGAAAGUAUUUGUAUGGUUAGAGUAACCCUGGAACUCUAUUCUAGGUUUUCCUGCAGUCCUUGUGUUCCAUGUUUCUCGCACUUUGCCCCUCGACUAGGUUCCUUCACGUGGUGAGGAGUUAAGGGAUCCUGCCUUCACUCUUGUGAAGACUAGAUUCGUACGGAAUGCCUAUGAAACUUUUGGGGUUAACGGCCGUGGACAUUUCCACUAUCGUCUAAUUUAACUGCUUAGGCCAGUCUGAGAAGGAAUUGUUGGUUGGGAAAGGUUUGGAUUUGAAGCUAAUAGUUGUGGUGGUUGAGUCACCACCUGAUAUGGUUUGUACCUGAGAGGUAGUAAUGGGAUUUUCCCAUUACUGUG
Molecule: long non-coding RNA, 1586 nt
Organism: Macrobrachium nipponense
Lineage: Eukaryota; Metazoa; Arthropoda; Malacostraca; Decapoda; Palaemonidae
Exons: 3
Source: RefSeq, a predicted model, not a curated record